UACGGAGGGGGCUAGCGUUGUUCGGAAUUACUGGGCGUAAAGCGCACGUAGGCGGCUUUGUAAGUUAGAGGUGAAAGUCCGGGGCUCAACCCCGGAAUUGCCUUUAAGACUGCAUCGCUAGAAUUGUGGAGAGGUAAGUGGAAUUCCGAGUGUAGAGGUGAAAUUCGUAGAUAUUCGGAAGAACACCAGUGGCGAAGGCGACUUACUGGACACAUAUUGACGCUGAGGUGCGAAAGCGUGGGGAGCAAACAGG
Molecule: ribosomal RNA, 253 nt
Filed under: uncultured bacterium
Lineage: Bacteria
Description: partial 16S ribosomal RNA
Rfam family: Bacterial small subunit ribosomal RNA
Source: RNAcentral